This is a long non-coding RNA of Syngnathus acus (greater pipefish), 340 nucleotides long. RefSeq lists it as uncharacterized. NCBI's taxonomy places the organism in Eukaryota, Metazoa, Chordata, Actinopteri, Syngnathiformes, Syngnathidae. The transcript has 3 exons. The record is from RefSeq and is a predicted model, not a curated record.
UUGUUGCUCAAGAAACGUUGAUCUUUGUCACAAGCCGACUUUGGAAAAAGUUUCAAAAUCAACACAAAGUGACGGCCCUUUUGUGGUUCCUGAAGACACAAGUGGAGCGUCAUCUUUAGAUCAAAACUCGGGAUUAGGAUCACAGGUCCCGGAACAAUCAAUCCAAGAUCCCAACUGUUCCUCAGAGAACUUCGCCACUGAAAAUGAUGAAGAGUCGGACAUCGUUGUGGCGGAAACCACUUCAUCUCAGUACUUCGUACCCACAGAAUCUCGUCCUAACCAGGAAACGAAGGUGCACCCAUCCCAUUUGCAGACAUCUAUACGAUGGUUACAAGAACAC